This 258-nucleotide long non-coding RNA is filed under the name Malus domestica (apple). RNAcentral's name for it is "long non-coding RNA (MDOM_LNC019805)". The record is from RNAcentral. Lineage: Eukaryota; Viridiplantae; Streptophyta; Magnoliopsida; Rosales; Rosaceae.
UCGGUCACAUGCAUAAAAGUUUAUAAAAACAAGUAUCAAUUCAAAAUAAUUUCAUUUAUUCAAGGAAAAAAAACUUAAUAUCCAAAAUAAAUCGCCAACUAAUAAUCCAAAACAUAAAGGAAAAUUGUUCAAAAUCAGCCAAAAAACAAGGUGGGGUUCGGCCACUAGGUGGAAUUCAGCCCCAAAUGUCUUAUUUUAACUGAAAAAUAAGUCUAUGUCUAAGAUUCUAAUCUUCCAUAGGAGUGGUAUCCUCCUGAA